GAGCUGCUACUAUGCCUCAUCUGCCAUCUGUGUGACAGUGCCUCACCACACCUCCGGCCAGCCACCUACUCCCAGUAAAGGAAAAGUGAAGAUUGUUUGUCUAGCCCUCCAACUCUCUUUAAAUCUACAUAAUCGAAAGGAAAAAGGCUAAAAUGGUGAUGUCCAAGGUUAAAUAUUAGGCCUUACGUGAGCUCCAUCUUUCCCAUUGUAAUUGUGGCUUAGCACAG
This 227-nucleotide long non-coding RNA is filed under the name Olea europaea (common olive). Its description in RNAcentral is "long non-coding RNA (OEUR_LNC012250)". The record is from RNAcentral. Lineage: Eukaryota; Viridiplantae; Streptophyta; Magnoliopsida; Lamiales; Oleaceae.